UAUACAGAUUAUUGUAUUCGACUGUAUUCACGGCGUGAAACAGGGGAUUACACUGUUUUUAAACGGGAAGUGAAUCAAUUAACAUAAUAGACUCCU
Molecule: microRNA precursor, 96 nt
Filed under: Nicotiana sylvestris (wood tobacco)
Lineage: Eukaryota; Viridiplantae; Streptophyta; Magnoliopsida; Solanales; Solanaceae
Also listed under: 1 other name
Description: MIR6152 microRNA precursor family
Rfam family: MIR6152 microRNA precursor family
Source: Rfam by way of RNAcentral